Molecule: transfer RNA, 70 nt
Filed under: Camelus bactrianus (Bactrian camel)
Lineage: Eukaryota; Metazoa; Chordata; Mammalia; Artiodactyla; Camelidae
Also listed under: 1 other name
Rfam family: tRNA
About the family: Transfer RNA (tRNA) molecules are approximately 80 nucleotides in length. Their secondary structure includes four short double-helical elements and three loops (D, anti-codon, and T loops).
Source: Rfam by way of RNAcentral
GGACCUAGCUCAGUGGUGGAGUGCGUGCUUAGCAUGCACAAGGUCCUGGGUUCAAUCCCCAGUACAUCCA